This 490-nucleotide ribosomal RNA is filed under the name uncultured bacterium. Its description in RNAcentral is "partial 16S ribosomal RNA". It matches the Rfam family "Bacterial small subunit ribosomal RNA", at positions 30 to 507 of the family's 1533-position model. The record is from RNAcentral.
AUUGAACGCUGGCGGCAGGCCUAACACAUGCAAGUCGAACGGUAACAGGAAGAAGCUUGCUUCUUUGCUGACGAGUGGCGGACGGGUGAGUAAUGUCUGGGAAACUGCCUGAUGGAGGGGGAUAACUACUGGAAACGGUAGCUAAUACCGCAUAACGUCGCAAGACCAAAGAGGGGGACCUUCGGGCCUCUUGCCAUCGGAUGUGCCCAGAUGGGAUUAGCUAGUAGGUGGGGUAACGGCUCACCUAGGCGACGAUCCCUAGCUGGUCUGAGAGGAUGACCAGCCACACUGGAACUGAGACACGGGCCAGACUCCUACGGGAGGCAGCAGUGGGGAAUAUUGCACAAUGGGCGCAAGCCUGAUGCAGCCAUGCCGCGUGUAUGAAGAAGGCCUUCGGGUUGUAAAGUACUUUCAGCGGGGAGGAAGGGAGUAAAGUUAAUACCUUUGCUCAUUGACGUUACCCGCAGAAGAAGCACCGGCUAACUCCGUG